UGCAGCUGUGUCAAAUUCGGCACCUGCCCACUCAUGGCAGGUGCCGGCCCAGAAGGCUGCCACAGAAACCUGUGACUCAUGGGCCCUGCUCCCCGGCACUGGGGCUCAGGGAUAAGUUUGGUCACAGACAUGG
Ochotona curzoniae (black-lipped pika) is the source of this 133-nucleotide small nucleolar RNA. RefSeq annotates it as small nucleolar RNA SNORA5. NCBI's taxonomy places the organism in Eukaryota, Metazoa, Chordata, Mammalia, Lagomorpha, Ochotonidae. The transcript has a single exon. The record is from RefSeq and is a predicted model, not a curated record.